Molecule: long non-coding RNA, 612 nt
Filed under: Lathyrus oleraceus (garden pea)
Lineage: Eukaryota; Viridiplantae; Streptophyta; Magnoliopsida; Fabales; Fabaceae
Description: Pisum sativum (pea) long non-coding RNA (PSAT_LNC022035)
Source: RNAcentral
AAAUUCAAAGAGACAAAAGAGACUUGAAAGAAACUACGGGAGUUGAAUUUACAAAAGAUUUCAUUCACUUCAACAACUCUAUAUCAACUAUUUUCUCUUCUCCUUUCUCUUUUUAUUCUUUUUUUCUUCAUAAGGAGUAUGUAUUGAUUGACAUCCUUCUAUUUUUUUCAUUCAUUUUUUUUCUUUUCUAUUUUCUAUUUUUAUUUUUCUGCCAACUUCUGAAAUAUUACAAAUAUAAUUAUUCAAUCUCACACAACUCCAAACAAGACUCUUCCAACCCUUUAAAUAGGGUGAUAACAUUGUUUUUCACUUCUUGGUUUGUAAUGAAUUUUAAACAAAAAAAGGAUAAUAGGCUCAAGGGAGUUUCAAACAAGGGAUGAUAAUAUUUAAGGGUUGGCUUUUUGGCUAUCUGGGUAAAAAAAAUAAAAAAAUAAAACUGCCUUUAUCAUAUCAGUGUGCACAAGUAAACAACAACAUCAACAAGAGUCAACUCAAGUUCUAGAGACUAACAGACAUGAGUGAAUCACACAAGAAAGAAAGAGAUGUAUUUUUGUAUGUUAUCUAUAUAAGGCUCAAAAUCUCACAAUGUUAAUUGAUCUACCACAAAUGAUG